UGGGGCGUGGCCAAGUGGUAAGGCAACGGGUUUUGAUCCCGCUAUUCGGAGGUUCGAAUCCUUCCGUCCCAAGCA
RNAcentral lists this transfer RNA (75 nucleotides) under Halomonas heilongjiangensis. RNAcentral describes it as "tRNA-Gln". It matches the Rfam family "tRNA". From Rfam's summary of the family: Transfer RNA (tRNA) molecules are approximately 80 nucleotides in length. Their secondary structure includes four short double-helical elements and three loops (D, anti-codon, and T loops). Further hydrogen bonds mediate the characteristic L-shaped molecular structure. tRNAs have two regions of fundamental functional importance: the anti-codon, which is responsible for specific mRNA codon recognition, and the 3' end, to which the tRNAs corresponding amino acid is attached (by aminoacyl-tRNA synthetases). tRNAs cope with the degeneracy of the genetic code in two manners: having more than one tRNA (with a specific anti-codon) for a particular amino acid; and 'wobble' base-pairing, i.e. permitting non-standard base-pairing at the 3rd anti-codon position. The record is from RNAcentral. Lineage: Bacteria; Pseudomonadati; Pseudomonadota; Gammaproteobacteria; Oceanospirillales; Halomonadaceae.